AGAACGAACGCUGGCGGCAUGCCUAAUACAUGCAAGUCGAACGAACUCUUCGGAGUUAGUGGCGCACGGGUGCGUAACGCGUGGGAAUCUGCCCUUGGGUUCGGAAUAACAGUUGGAAACGACUGCUAAUACCGGAUGAUGACGAAAGUCCAAAGAUUUAUCGCCA
RNAcentral lists this ribosomal RNA (166 nucleotides) under uncultured soil bacterium. RNAcentral describes it as "partial 16S ribosomal RNA". It matches the Rfam family "Bacterial small subunit ribosomal RNA", at positions 26 to 220 of the family's 1533-position model. The record is from RNAcentral.